Molecule: unclassified non-coding RNA, 378 nt
Filed under: uncultured Chlamydiales bacterium
Lineage: Bacteria; Pseudomonadati; Chlamydiota; Chlamydiia; Chlamydiales
Description: contains 16S-23S intergenic spacer region
Source: RNAcentral
UCCUGGUUAACCCAGGCAGUCUCAUUAGAGUUCCCACCUUAACGUGUUGGCAACUAAUGAUAAGGGUUGCGCUCGUUGCUGGACUUAACCAAACACCUCACGGCACGAGCUGACGACAGCCAUGCAGCACCUAUGUAAAGGCCCUUUCGGGAAACAUCAUCUCUGAUGUCGCCCUCUACAUUUCGAGCCCAGGUAAGGUUCUUCGCGUUGCAUCGAAUUAAACCACAUGCUCCACUGCUUGUGCGGGCCCCCGUCAAUUCUUUUGAGUUUCACCCUUGCGAGCGUACUCCCCAGGCGGCAUACUUAAUGCGUUAGCUCCGGUACAGAGGGGGUUGAGCCCUCCUACACCUAGUAUGCAUCGUUUAUGGCAUGGACUAC